GCACCAGUGGGGAAUAUUGGGCAAUGGAGGGAACUCUGACCCAGCGACGCCGCGUGCGGGAUGAAGGCCUUCGGGUUGUAAACCGCUUUCAGCAAGGAAGAAGCGAAAGUGACGGUACUUGCAGAAGAAGCACCGGCUAACUAUGUGCCAGCAGCCGCGGUAAUACAUAGGGUGCAAGCGUUGUCCGGAAUUAUUGGGCGUAAAGAGCUCGUAGGUGGUUCGUCACGUCGGAUGUGAAAAUCUGGGGCUUAACCCCAGACCUGCAUUCGAUACGGGCGAGCUAGAGUGUGGUAGGGGAGACUGGAAUUCCUGGUGUAGCGGUGGAAUGCGCAGAUAUCAGGAGGAACACCAAUGGCGAAGGCAGGUCUCUGGGCCAUUACUGACACUGAGGAGCGAAAGCGUGGGGAGCGAACAGGAUUAGAUACCCCCGUAGUCCGGUC
This 440-nucleotide ribosomal RNA is filed under the name actinobacterium SCGC AAA044-N04. RNAcentral's name for it is "bacterial SSU rRNA". It matches the Rfam family "Bacterial small subunit ribosomal RNA", at positions 348 to 800 of the family's 1533-position model. Lineage: Bacteria; Bacillati; Actinomycetota; Actinomycetes. The record is from RNAcentral.